GGGAAUAUUGGACAAUGGGCGCAAGCCUGAUCCAGCCAUGCCGCGUGAGUGAUGAAGGCCUUAGGGUUGUAAAGCUCUUUUACCUGGGAAGAUCAUGACGGUACCAGGAGAAUAAGCCCCGGCUAACUUCGUGCCAGCAGCCGCGGUAAUACGAAGGGGGCUAGCGUUGUUCGGAUUUACUGGGCGUAAAGGGCGCGUAGGCGGAUUUUUAAGUCAGGGGUGAAAUCCCAAGGCUCAACCUUGGAACUGCCUUUGAUACUGGGAAUCUUGAGUCCGGGAGAGGUGAGUGGAACUGCGAGUGUAGAGGUGAAAUUCGUAGAUAUUCGCAAGAACACCAGUGGCGAAGGCGGCUCACUGGCCCGGAACUGACGCUGAGGCGCGAAAGCGUGGGGAGCAAA
RNAcentral lists this ribosomal RNA (398 nucleotides) under uncultured bacterium. RNAcentral describes it as "bacterial SSU rRNA". It matches the Rfam family "Bacterial small subunit ribosomal RNA", at positions 357 to 772 of the family's 1533-position model. The record is from RNAcentral.